This is a long non-coding RNA of Haliotis rubra (blacklip abalone), 511 nucleotides long. RefSeq lists it as uncharacterized. The record is from RefSeq and is a predicted model, not a curated record. Lineage: Eukaryota; Metazoa; Mollusca; Gastropoda; Lepetellida; Haliotidae. The transcript is spliced from 4 exons.
ACUGUCUGAAGGACACCUACUGUCUGGCUCGCUGGCUCUUUGAUGUCACUUGGAUUAGUAACCACAGGUAAUUGGCUUGGAGCGUGAAUAAGGAGGCCGCAGUCAUUUACAUGGAUAAUCUAAUUAUGUGCAGGAAUUGAAAGACACAUGGAUUAAUGGCUUAAUUUCAUACGGAAAGUACCGUAGGUUCCAUAUUCACAUGAUCAAGAGGGAAGAGUCUUCAUGGUGUACCUGGUUGUCACGGCAACAAAUCACACAGACAUGGACACCUCAAGGGGUUGGAUGAUGAUGAUGAUGAUGAUGAUGAUGAUGAUGAUGAUCUGUCCUACUUCAUGGAACCAGUUACUGAUGCAGGAAAGGCUGAAUUUAUACAACUGGUGAAAUAUACAACUGUACUGAACAAAACAAGUUAGGGAACAUGAAACGUCUUUAUAUCAUACAUCUUCACAGAGCUACAGAUAACUGUUUGGGUCAUUGAGUUAUGUACUCACUUGUGUUCAUCUCAAUUGGG